RNAcentral lists this non-coding RNA (30 nucleotides) under Homo sapiens (human). The record is from RNAcentral. Lineage: Eukaryota; Metazoa; Chordata; Mammalia; Primates; Hominidae.
GGGAGCUCUUUGGGGGCAAGUACUGUUCCU